RNAcentral lists this ribosomal RNA (281 nucleotides) under Heterocapsa rotundata. Its description in RNAcentral is "partial small subunit ribosomal RNA". It matches the Rfam family "Eukaryotic small subunit ribosomal RNA", at positions 623 to 904 of the family's 1831-position model. Lineage: Eukaryota; Dinophyceae; Peridiniales; Heterocapsaceae. The record is from RNAcentral.
GUUAAAGCUCGUAGUUGGAUUUCUGCCGAGGACGACCGGUCCGCCCUCUGGGUGAGCAUCUGGCUCGGCCUGGGCAUCUUCUUGGAGAACGUAUCUGCACUUGACUGUGUGGUGCGGUAUUCAGGACUUUUACUUUGAGGAAAUUAGAGUGUUUCAAGCAGGCAUACGCCUUGAAUACAUUAGCAUGGAAUAAUAAGAUAGGACCUCGGUUCUAUUUUGUUGGUUUCUAGAUCUGAGGUAAUGAUUAAUAGGGAUAGUUGGGGGCUUCUGGUCCAGUUUUG